AAUUAAAAGCCGGUGAAACUGAAAUUAACAGAACGCAGAACUAGAACAUAUCUAUGACUAGAACAUGACAAGUGUGAACAUAUUGGAGAUCGUUGCAAUCCUUCUUCUUCUCAUAAACCACUCCAAUACACUACUAUGUAAAGAAAAAGCUACCCCAUCAGUAGGGGACUUGUGCCUGGAGCAGAAUAAAACUUUACAAGGGGACGUGCCUCUAUUGCUGGUGUACUACACAGACAGCCUUGAUCAGCCACCUAAAUGGGGAACCAUAUGUGAUGAUCAGGUUGAUGGAACAGCUCUUACCACCAUGUGCCAACAACUUGGAUAUGAUGAUACGAAAUAUCGGUAUAUCUGGGGGUAUAAUGAUGUUGAUCCCUGGUUCUCUGAGGUGACUUGUGGCAGCCAAACAACUCAAAAUAUUCUGAGAUGCCCCUUCAUCCGAGCAAAUAAUCCCAACUGUUCUAAAAUCUACUUACACUGGAUCUGAUGAAAGCUGGAACAAGGUGCCAAAUGAAGGUUACAUUGGACAAGUGCUGCUACUACAUCCCAAGAAUACUGCUCCAGGUCAUCAAGUUUCGUUUGGACUGGUGCUCAUUUACAUGUACCGUAAUGGCUAUAGUUCGUGGGGUAUUAUUACUCAGGACCCAACACAACCAUUCACACUCAAUGCUGCUAACUCAGUAUGCAGGCAGAUGGGGUACACUGAAGCUGACCAUAUCACCACUGCAAAGAAUUCAAACUCUCACUAUGAUCCCACAAGUCUCCAACACAACGCUUGGCUUCGCAGCAUCCACACGAGCGAUUGUAUGGUUACUUCUGAGCCUUGUUUCAGCUGUUGUUUCAGCUGGCCUACUACUCCCUUGUGUAGCGUAGAUACUUGUUUGUUUGAGGACGGUAUCGUUUUGAAAUGCUUGUUUGAUAAAAGCAAAGAGGACUCGCCUAUUUAUUCGGAAGGAAACGAAGAGUUGUGUCAGAUCACAGGUUAUAGGCAACCUAUCUGUACAGGUCAGACUCACCGGCACAAUAAGCUCACUACCAUUAAGAUGAGAAGGGGAGCCUUGUCCCUCGCUUCGUCCAUCCUGUGAUGCAUAUACAAACUUCAUGACAACAAUUAUUACGCUGGUACUGCAUACCACCAUAAGCUCACUCUCAUUAAGAGUGGACAGUUUGGACUUGGAGCCUUGUCCCUCGCUUCGUCCGUCCUGUGAUGCAUAGAUCUAUAUAUAAUUAUGCAACUUUCAACUAUAAAUUAUUACGCUGGUACUGCAUCAGAUUCACUCAACCAUAAGCUCACUCUCGGCAUUAAGAGUGGGCAGUUUGGAGCUGAUUUUGGGAGAGCUUUGUCAUCACUUUGCUGUUCAGCCUGUAUACAAAUUUUCAUGACUUAAUAAUUAUUAUUAUUAUGCUGGUUAAACUCACCUUAAUCUCUUUAGGAAUCGUCUAUAAUCUGCACACAGAGCUGCUAUGAGGAGGAUUCUCAUAGAGAGAGAGAUGUAAAUAGCAGCUGAGCCUGCAACCGCAGCCUCGAUAAUCGGCCUGGUCUCGAGGCUACUGCAACCUCAAUAAUAAUCUACGGCGAAGUAUACGAAUUAUUUAUAUACAUUUACGGGUAUCUCAUUAACAUUCCACAAGAUUUCAGAGAUUCCAAGAGAUUUCAGAGAUUCCAAGGGAUUCCAGAGAUUCCACAAGAUUUCAAGAUUCCAAGUGAGAUUUCAAGAUUUCAGUUGAGAUUCCAAAAAUUUUGUACGAGAUUCCUGGCCGUUGCGGACCCCUCGAUGACAACAGCAAGAAAAAGUACCCCUACCCCAGGCACCCCAGGCAGCCCAGGCACCCCAAGCCCUCCUGAUUAUGAGGCGAUCACAAUUGUCUUGGCUAUUGUCAGUGGAGCAUUACUUUUGAUCACAAUUGUAGUGAUACUAUGCUGUUACAAAAUUUACCGUAAACAUAAAUUAGCACUUCGUGUAGAGGUAAAUCCCGAUCAGCAGCCGUUAGUCGCUAAUAACCUUAAUAAUUAGAAUUAAACUGUCACCACUUGUUUUUAAUGUCAUCUGUGUUAAACUGAACUUUUAUGGACUCAUGGUAUUCACCAAUGACUUUUGUUGAUUUUGCUGAUUAGUACUGUACACAUUAUAGUCGGACUCUAAAUUGGUAGUGAUUUGUGCUGUUUUUCACAUACAUGCAUACGUAAUAAUAAUUAAUACGGUGUCCAAUGUC
This is an RNA transcript of Halichondria panicea, 2211 nucleotides long. RefSeq lists it as uncharacterized. NCBI's taxonomy places the organism in Eukaryota, Metazoa, Porifera, Demospongiae, Suberitida, Halichondriidae. The transcript is spliced from 9 exons. The record is from RefSeq and is a predicted model, not a curated record.